GAUGAAGAACGCAGCGAAAUGCGAUAAGUAAUGCGAAUUGCAGAAUUCAGUGAGUCAUCGAAUCUUUGAACGCACAUUGCGCCAUGUGGUAUUCCGCAGGGCAUGCCUGUUCGAGCGUCAUUUCAACCCUCAAGCUCUGCUUGGUGUUGGGCCACGCCCCCGCGGCCGGCCCCAAAGCUAGUGGCGGUGCCGUCUGGCUCUAAGCGUAGUACAUCUCUCGCUCUAGGGCCCGGCGGUUGCUUGCCAGAACCCACACUCUUAUGGUUGACCUCGGAUCAGGUAGGGAUUCCCGCUGAACUUAAGCAUAUCAAUAAGCGGAGGA
RNAcentral lists this unclassified non-coding RNA (322 nucleotides) under soil metagenome. RNAcentral describes it as "partial contains 5.8S ribosomal RNA, internal transcribed spacer 2, and large subunit ribosomal RNA". The stretch from base 1 to 120 matches the Rfam family "5.8S ribosomal RNA", at positions 35 to 154 of the family's 154-position model. The record is from RNAcentral.